RNAcentral lists this ribosomal RNA (350 nucleotides) under uncultured bacterium. RNAcentral describes it as "bacterial SSU rRNA". It matches the Rfam family "Bacterial small subunit ribosomal RNA", at positions 1027 to 1384 of the family's 1533-position model. The record is from RNAcentral.
CCAGUACACAGGUGCUGCAUGGCUGUCGUCAGCUCGUGUCGUGAGAUGUUGGGUUAAGUCCCGCAACGAGCGCAACCCUUGUCAUUAGUUGCUACGAAAGGGCCUCUAAUGAGACUGCCGGUGACAAACCGGAGGAAGGUGGGGAUGACGUCAAGUCCUCAUGGCCCUUAUGGGUAGGGCUUCACACGUCAUACAAUGGUACAUACAGAGCGCCGCCAACCCGCGAGGGGGAGCUAAUCGCAGAAAGUGUAUUGUAGUCCGGAUUGUAGUCUGCAACUCGACUGCAUGAAGUUGGAAUCGCUAGUAAUGCGAAUCAGCAUGUGGGGGGUGAAUACGUUCCCGGGUCUUGU